Molecule: ribosomal RNA, 387 nt
Filed under: uncultured bacterium
Lineage: Bacteria
Description: bacterial SSU rRNA
Rfam family: Bacterial small subunit ribosomal RNA
Source: RNAcentral
GACGAACGCUGGCGGCGUGCUUAACACAUGCAAGUCGAGCGGUAAGGCCCUUUCGGGGGUACACGAGCGGCGAACGGGUGAGUAACACGUGGGUGACCUGCCCUCAGCUCUGGGAUAAGCCUGGGAAACCGGGUCUAAUACUGGAUAUGACUCCAUGACGCAUGUUGUGAGGUGGAAAGCCUUGUGCGGCUGAGGAUGGGCCCGCGGCCUAUCAGCUUGUUGGUGGGGNGAUGGCCUACCAAGGCGACGACGGGUAGCCGGCCUGAGAGGGCGACCGGCCACACUGGGACUGAGACACGGCCCAGACUCCUACGGGAGGCAGCAGUGGGGAAUCUUGCGCAAUGGGCGAAAGCCUGACGCAGCGACGCCGCGUGAGGGAUGACGGCC